UACGUAGGGGGCUAGCGUUGUCCGGAUUUAUUGGGCGUAAAGAGCGUGUAGGCGGCCAGGUAGGUCUGCUGUGAAAACUCGAGGCUCAACCUCGAGACGUCGGCGGAAACCAUCUGGCUAGAGUCCGGAAGAGGAGAGUGGGAUUCCUGGUGUAGCGGUGAAAUGCGCAGAUAUCAGGAAGAACACCCGUGGCGAAGGCGGCUCUCUGGGACGGUACUGACGCUGAGACGCGAAAGCGUGGGGAGCGAACAGG
This 253-nucleotide ribosomal RNA is filed under the name uncultured bacterium. RNAcentral describes it as "partial 16S ribosomal RNA". It matches the Rfam family "Bacterial small subunit ribosomal RNA", at positions 524 to 776 of the family's 1533-position model. The record is from RNAcentral.